GCCUAAUACAUGCAAGUCGAACGAGAAGCCUUGGAUUAUCUAAGGUGGAGAGUGGCGCACGGGUGAGUAACACAUGGCUGACCUGCCCCUCAGAGGGGGACAACCGGUGGAAACGCCGGCUAAUACCCCAUGCUUGCGUCCGGGUUAGAGGCCGGAUGCAGGAAGGCCGAGGCGCUGAGGGAGGGGGCUGUGGACCAUCAGCUAGUUGGUAGGGUAACGGCCUACCAAGGCGAGGACGGAUAGGGGGCCUGAGAGGGUGACCCCCCACACGGGCACUGAGACACGGGCCCGACUCCUACGGGAGGCAGCAGUAAGGGAUAUUGCGACAAUGGGCGAAAGCCUGACGCAGCAACGCCGCGUGGAGGAUGAAGGCCUUCGGGUUGUAAACUCCUUUUCUGUGGGAAGAGGAAGGACGGUACCACAGGAAGAAGUCUCGGCUAACUACGUGCCAGCAGCCGCGGUAAAACGUAGGAGGCGAGCGUUAUCCGGAUUUACUGGGUGUAAAGCGCGUGCAGGCGGUCUGGUAAGUCGAGCGUGAAAGCUCCCGGCUCAACCGGGAGAGGACGUGCGAAACUGCGAGGCUAGAGACAGGUAGAGGCGUACGGAAUUCCGGGUGUAGUGGUGACAUGCGUAGAUAUCCGGAGGAACACCAGUGGCGAAGGCGGUACGCUGGGCCUGGUCUGACGCUAAGACGCGAAAGCAUGGGGAGCGAACGGGAUUAGAAACCCCGGUAGUCCAUGCCGUAAACGAUGCUGACUAGGUGUUGCGGGUAAAAGACCGGCAGUGCCGGAGUUAACGCGAUAAGUUAGCCACCUGGGGACUACGGUCGCAAGGCUAAAACUCAAAGGAAUUGACGGGGGCCCCGCACAAGCAGCGGAGCGUGUGGUUUAAUUCGAGGCUACACGAAGAACCUUACCUGGGCUUGACAUGACGGUGGUAGGGAACCGAAAGGGGACCGACCUUCGGGAGCCGUCACAGGUGCUGCAUGGCUGUCGUCAGCUCGUGUCGUGAGAUGUUCGGUUAAGUCCGGUAACGAGCGCAGCCAUCAUCGCUAGUUACAAGUGUCUAGCGAGACUGCCCGUUCAACGCGGGAGGAAGGCGGGGAUGACGUCAAGUCAGCAUGGCCUUUAUGUCCAGGGCUACACACACGCUACAAUGG
RNAcentral lists this ribosomal RNA (1159 nucleotides) under uncultured organism. RNAcentral's name for it is "bacterial SSU rRNA". It matches the Rfam family "Bacterial small subunit ribosomal RNA", at positions 46 to 1233 of the family's 1533-position model. The record is from RNAcentral.